UGAUGUUUUGACUUCUCCAUUUUUCUUUCUACUUCUAUCUUAUAGUCAGCACAAGCAAUGUCCAGGCGUUGUGAAGUUUUGAGGGAGUCCAUAUCUUCUUAUCAUCAAGUACUACUCCGGUCUCUUAUGAAAGAAGUUUCUGGUCAUAUAUGGGAGGAAAAAGAAACCAUCUUGGAUGCACUUGGUGCUAUUUCAACUACUUGCCUCAAAUUAGUUUCUACUGCAGAUCCUGCCAUGCCCAAUGCCAUUGUAAACCUGGUAUCUUCCUCCUGCUCCAAGAAAGCAAAGAAAUUCUGAGAAGCUGCUUUUUCUUUUCUUGAGAAGAUUGAUACGGGAAACUCAUGCUCACAACUUGAAAUGGAUGAAGUACGAGUGGAGUGGGCUAAAUUUUUAGCUCGGAACAUAUGAUAGACACCUAGCUAGAUAUGAUCUUAAUUGUGUAAAUGGCUAACACAUGAGAACGACCAUAACUUUUUUUGUGUAAAUGUUUUUUUCAUAGCCAUUAUACUUAGUUUUGGUAUACAACAUAUGUUUUUGGUUAUAUAAGAUAGCUAUUAUUAUUGUUGAUUUUGGAAUAGGCCACAUAUAGAAAAUUUUAGUUGGUUAUAUUUGGAUUGGAAUUCUGUAAUUGUUGAUGACAUUGUUGAGAAGA
Long non-coding RNA from Cucumis melo (muskmelon), 652 nucleotides. RefSeq lists it as uncharacterized. NCBI's taxonomy places the organism in Eukaryota, Viridiplantae, Streptophyta, Magnoliopsida, Cucurbitales, Cucurbitaceae. The record is from RefSeq and is a predicted model, not a curated record. The transcript has 3 exons.